CUAAGAAUAUUCCGCAAUGGACGAAAGUCUGACGGAGCGACGCCGCGUGGAUGAAGAAGGCCGCAAGGUUGUAAAAUCAUUUUGCUGGGGAAGAAUAAGUCCAGGAGGGAAUGCCUGGAUGAUGACAUGAACCGGCGAAUAAGCCCCGGCCAACUACGUGCCAGCAGCCGCGGUAACACGUAGGGGACAAGCGUGGUUCGGAAUUAAUGGGCGUAAAGUGCAUGUAGGCGGUUUAGUAAGCUUGGCGUGAAAGACCACGGCUUAACUGUUGGGUUGCGUUGAGAACUGCUGAACUUGAGUUACGGAGAUGAAGCUAGAAUUCCUGGUGUAGGGGUGGAAUCUGUAGAGAUCAGGAAGAAUACCGAUGGCGAAGGCAAGCUUCUGGGCGAUAACUGACUCUGAGGUGAGAAAGUGUGGUGAUCAAACA
Molecule: ribosomal RNA, 427 nt
Filed under: uncultured prokaryote
Description: bacterial SSU rRNA
Rfam family: Bacterial small subunit ribosomal RNA
Source: RNAcentral